GCGAACGCUGGCGGCAGGCUUAACACAUGCAAGUCGAGCGGGCAUCCUUGUGGUGUCAGCGGCAGACGGGUGAGUAACGCGUGGGAACGUGCCCUUCGGUUCGGAAUAACUCAGGGAAACUUGAGCUAAUACCGGAUACGUGCGAGAGCAGAAAGGUUUAUCUGCCGAAGGAUCGGCCCGCGUCUGAUUAGCUAGUUGGUGAGGUUAUGGCUCACCAAGGCGACGAUCAGUAGCUGGUCUGAGAGGAUGAUCAGCCACACUGGGACUGAGACACGGCCCAGACUCCUACGAGAGGCAGCAGUGGGGAAUAUUGGACAAUGGGGGCAACCCUGAUCCAGCCAUGCCGCGUGAGUGAUGACGGCCUUAGGGUUGUAAAGCUCUUUUCUCCGGGACGAUAAUGACGGUACCGGAGGAAUAAGCCCCGGCUAACUUCGUG
Molecule: ribosomal RNA, 436 nt
Filed under: uncultured bacterium
Lineage: Bacteria
Description: partial 16S ribosomal RNA
Rfam family: Bacterial small subunit ribosomal RNA
Source: RNAcentral